Molecule: ribosomal RNA, 253 nt
Filed under: uncultured bacterium
Lineage: Bacteria
Description: partial 16S ribosomal RNA
Rfam family: Bacterial small subunit ribosomal RNA
Source: RNAcentral
UACGUAGGGGGCAAGCGUUGUCCGGAAUCAUUGGGCGUAAAGCGCGUGUAGGCGGUCCGGUAAGUCCGCUGUGAAAGUCGGGGGCUCAACCCUCGGAUGCCGGUGGAUACUGUCGGGCUUGAGUACGGAAGAGGCGAGUGGAAUUCCUGGUGUAGCGGUGAAAUGCGUAGAUAUUCGGAGGAACACCAGUGGCGAAGGCGGCCACCUGGAUCAAUACUGACGCUGAGGCGCGAAAGCGUGGGUAGCAAACAGG